Molecule: ribosomal RNA, 319 nt
Filed under: uncultured eukaryote
Lineage: Eukaryota
Description: partial 18S ribosomal RNA
Rfam family: Eukaryotic small subunit ribosomal RNA
Source: RNAcentral
CCCUUAGAUGUUCUGGGCAGCACGCGCGCUACAAUGGUCUUCGCAAACGGAUGCAUUCUCGAAGGAGAAUGCCAAUCUUGGAAUCUAUGCCUUGGUCGGGACAGUUGCUUGCAAUUUUUCGACUCGAACCAGGAAUUCCUUGUAAUCGUGAUUCAUCACAUCACGAUGAAUACGUCCCUGCCCUUUGUACACACCGCCCGUCGCUCCUACCGAUCGAAGAGUUAGGUGAAUUGUUUUGAUCGAUAAGAUUUGACUAUGGUCAACUCUCGUUGUGAAAUUCUGUGAAUCUGUCUGUUUAGAGGAAGGAAAAGUCGUAACA